RNAcentral lists this ribosomal RNA (1339 nucleotides) under uncultured bacterium. RNAcentral describes it as "bacterial SSU rRNA". It matches the Rfam family "Bacterial small subunit ribosomal RNA", at positions 41 to 1381 of the family's 1533-position model. The record is from RNAcentral.
GGCGUGCUUAACACAUGCAAGUCGAACGAACCUUCUGGAUUUGAUUCUUCGGAUGAAGAUCCUUGUGACUGAGUGGCGGACGGGUGAGUAACGCGUGGGUAACCUUCCUCAUACAGGGGGAUAACAGUUAGAAAUGACUGCUAAUACCGCAUAAGACCACAAAGCCGCAUGGCUUAGUGGGAAAAACUCCGGUGGUAUGAGAUGGACCCGCGUCUGAUUAGGUAGUUGGUGGGGUAACGGCCUACCAAGCCGACGAUCAGUAGCCGACCUGAGAGGGUGACCGGCCACAUUGGGACUGAGACACGGCCCAAACUCCUACGGGAGGCAGCAGUGGGGAAUAUUGCACAAUGGGGGAAACCCUGAUGCAGCGACGCCGCGUGAGCGAAGAAGUAUUUCGGUAUGUAAAGCUCUAUCAGCAGGGAAGAAAAUGACGGUACCUGACUAAGAAGCACCGGCUAAAUACGUGCCAGCAGCCGCGGUAAUAAGUAUGGUGCAAGCGUUAUCCGGAUUUACUGGGUGUAAAGGGAGCGUAGACGGCUGUGUAAGUCUGAAGUGAAAGCCCGGGGCUCAACCCCGGGACUGCUUUGGAAACUAUGCAGCUAGAGUGUCGGAGAGGUAAGUGGAAUUCCCAGUGUAGCGGUGAAAUGCGUAGAUAUUGGGAGAAACACCAGUGGCGAAGGCGGCUUACUGGACGAUGACUGACGUUGAGGCUCGAAAGCGUGGGGAGCAAACAGGAUUAGAUACCCUGGUAGUCCACGCCGUAAACGAUGACUACUAGGUGUCGGGGAGCAAAGCUCUUCGGUGCCGCAGCAAACGCAAUAAGUAGUCCACCUGGGGAGUACGUUCGCAAGAAUGAAACUCAAAGGAAUUGACGGGGACCCGCACAAGCGGUGGAGCAUGUGGUUUAAUUCGAAGCAACGCGAAGAACCUUACCUGCUCUUGACAUCCCGGUGACCGGCAUGUAAUGAUGCCUUUUCUUCGGAACACCGGUGACAGGUGGUGCAUGGUUGUCGUCAGCUCGUGUCGUGAGAUGUUGGGUUAAGUCCCGCAACGAGCGCAACCCUUAUCUUCAGUAGCCAGCAUUUCGGAUGGGCACUCUGGAGAGACUGCCAGGGAUAACCUGGAGGAAGGUGGGGAUGACGUCAAAUCAUCAUGCCCCUUAUGAGCAGGGCUACACACGUGCUACAAUGGCGUAAACAAAGGGAAGCAAACCUGUGAGGGUAAGCAAAUCUCAAAAAUAACGUCUCAGUUCGGAUUGUAGUCUGCAACUCGACUACAUGAAGCUGGAAUCGCUAGUAAUCGCGAAUCAGCAUGUCGCGGUGAAUACGUUCCCGGGUCU